GGUAUGGAAUAUUUGCUAGUUUAACAGUGUAAAAGAAUCGAAAUCGGUUGAUUUUUUGAUAAAAAUUCUAUUCAUUAUAUAGAUAAAAAUCAAUAACUUCGAUCUUAAAUUGAAGGAUCCGAUCAUCCAUUUAAGACGUCGUUCGUUUUUUACCAUUCAUUUUAUUCAUGAACUUUAUUAUGAUUUCGAAAAAUUAUAAAAUUUAUUUUCUAGAAGUUUUGAUACUCUAGAUCAUAUUUAACGGAGUGGAUCGUCGAUUCGGAAGCUCCAUCAUUAAAAACAACUUAUGAGUAUUAAGGGCUCUAUACUCAUAAUAAAAGUAUAGUAACCCUAGCCUAUAUAUAUAUAGAGUCCGGCUACCAUACCUUUAUGAGUACGAUCGCCCUCGUACUCAUAAGUCGUCUUCAAAGACAGAGCUUCCGAAUCGACGAUCCAUACCAUUAAACAUUAUCUAGAGCAUUUAAACUUUCUAGAAAUCAAAUUUUAUAAUUUUUUGAUAUCAUUUACCUUACGAUCAAAAGGUUAUAAAAUUGACAAUUUUAACGACCGGUAUGGGAUACUUGGUAGUUUAACGGUGUAAAAGAAUCGGAAUUGGUUGAAUUUUUGAUAGAAAAUUCUAUUCACUACCUAGAUAAAGAUCAAUAACUCCGAUUUUAAAUUGAAGGAUCCGAUCAUCCAUUUUUAAGAUGUCGUUCGAUUUCGAUCAUUCAUUUUAUACCCACUUGAUGAACUUUAUUAUGAAUUCAAAAAAUUACGAAAUUUAUUUUCUAGAAGUUUCAAAUACUCUAAAUCAUAUUUAACGAAGUGGAUCGUCGAUUUGGAAGCUCCAUCAUCGAAAAUAAUUUAUGAGUAUGAAGGACUCUAUACUCAUAAUAGUAUAGUAACCCUAAACU
Molecule: long non-coding RNA, 893 nt
Filed under: Ananas comosus (pineapple)
Lineage: Eukaryota; Viridiplantae; Streptophyta; Magnoliopsida; Poales; Bromeliaceae
Description: long non-coding RNA (ACOM_LNC022037)
Source: RNAcentral